This 468-nucleotide ribosomal RNA is filed under the name uncultured bacterium. RNAcentral describes it as "partial 16S ribosomal RNA". It matches the Rfam family "Bacterial small subunit ribosomal RNA", at positions 28 to 507 of the family's 1533-position model. The record is from RNAcentral.
GACGAACGCUGGCGGCGUGCUUAACACAUGCAAGUCGAACGGAAAGGCCCUGCUUUUGUGGGGUGCUCGAGUGGCGAACGGGUGAGAAACACGUGAGUAACCUGCCCUUGACUUUGGGAUAACUUCAGGAAACUGGGGCUAAUACCGGAUAGGAGCUCCUGCUGCAUGGUGGGGGUUGGAAAGUUUCGGCGGUUGGGGAUGGACUCGCGGCUUAUCAGCUUGUUGGUGGGGUAGUGGCUUACCAAGGCUUUGACGGGUAGCCGGCCUGAGAGGGUGACCGGCCACAUUGGGACUGGGAUACGGCCCAGACUCCUACGGGAGGCAGCAGUGGGGAAUAUUGCACAAUGGGCGGAAGCCUGAUGCAGCAACGCCGCGUGCGGGAUGACGGCCUUCGGGUUGUAAACCGCUUUCGCCUGUGACGAAGCGUGAGUGACGGUAAUGGGUAAAGAAGCACCGGCUAACUACGUG